GGCCCUCCGCAGAUAUAUUUAUCUCAUUCACGGGAGGUCACACCUGCACAAUGACCUACGGGUUCAAUUGCCGCGGUAACCUGACCGUGCAAAGGUAGCGUAAUCAAUAGCCUAUUAAUUGUUGGCCUGUAUGAAUGGUACGACGCUGGUGGCGCUGUCUCAGCUGCAUUAAUUUGAAUUUAACUUCUGGGUGAAAAGGCCCAGAUGGAUCUGAAAGACGAUUAGACCCUGUCGAACUUUAGGUAGAUUGGCUGCCAAAAUAUCAGAAAUGGUAGUUUUGUUCUACCAUAAAACCUUUGGUUGGGGUAACCGGGGACUAAGAAAAACGCCCCCCCUCAUUGAAAGUUAACACCCGUUUUGGUAGGGGUAAUAAUGACUUUACCCCUAGGGCAAUUGGCCUUCAGGAAAGUAAUUACACUUAGUUUGAAAAAAGUCUGACAAGACAUGGUUUGCUUAUAAAAUGAACCUAAAGAACCGAAUAUCGGUAAGCUGUUAAAGGGGAAGAGUUACCGCAGGGAUAACAGCGUAAUCUUCCCGGCGAGACCACAUUAAGGGGAGGGUUUGCGACCUCGAUGUUGGCUUAGGGCUUCCUAGAAGUGCAGGGGCUUCUAAGGGUUGGUCUGUUCCACCAUUAAAGCCUUACGU
This 645-nucleotide ribosomal RNA is filed under the name Lottia scutum. Its description in RNAcentral is "partial 16S ribosomal RNA". It matches the Rfam family "Bacterial large subunit ribosomal RNA", at positions 1816 to 2601 of the family's 2925-position model. Lineage: Eukaryota; Metazoa; Mollusca; Gastropoda; Lottiidae. The record is from RNAcentral.